GACGAACGCUGGCGGCGUGCUUAACACAUGCAAGUCGAACGGAAAGGCCCUGCUUUUGUGGGGUGCUCGAGUGGCGAACGGGUGAGUAACACGUGAGUAACCUGCCCUUGACUUUGGGAUAACUUCAGGAAAUUGGGGCUAAUACCGGAUAGGAGCUCCUGCUGCAUGGUGGGGGUUGGAAAGUUUCGGCGGUUGGGGAUGGACUCGCGGCUUAUCAGCUUGUUGGUGGGGUAGUGGCUUACCAAGGCUUUGACGGGUAGCCGGCCUGAGAGGGUGACCGGCCACAUUGGGACUGAGAUACGGCCCAGACUCCUACGGGAGGCAGCAGUGGGGAAUAUUGCACAAUGGGCGGAAGCCUGAUGCAGCAACGCCGCGUGCGGGAGGACGGCCUUCGGGUGGUAAACCGCUUUCGCCUGUGACGAAGCGUGAGUGACGGUAAUGGGGAAAGAAGCACCGGCUAACUACGU
Molecule: ribosomal RNA, 467 nt
Filed under: uncultured bacterium
Lineage: Bacteria
Description: partial 16S ribosomal RNA
Rfam family: Bacterial small subunit ribosomal RNA
Source: RNAcentral